GGGGAUGUAGCUCAGUUGGUAGAGUGCUUGUCUCACAUGCACAAGGCCCUGGGUUCAAUCCCCAGCACCACUA
RNAcentral lists this transfer RNA (73 nucleotides) under Ictidomys tridecemlineatus (thirteen-lined ground squirrel). Its description in RNAcentral is "Spermophilus tridecemlineatus (thirteen-lined ground squirrel) tRNA". It matches the Rfam family "tRNA". From Rfam's summary of the family: Transfer RNA (tRNA) molecules are approximately 80 nucleotides in length. Their secondary structure includes four short double-helical elements and three loops (D, anti-codon, and T loops). The record is from Rfam by way of RNAcentral. Lineage: Eukaryota; Metazoa; Chordata; Mammalia; Rodentia; Sciuridae.